GUACCUACGGGGGGCAGCAGUAGGGAAUCUUCCACAAUGGACGAAAGUCUGAUGGAGCAACGCCGCGUGAGUGAAGAAGGGUUUCGGCUCGUAAAGCUCUGUUGGUAGUGAAGAAAGAUAGAGGUAGUAACUGGCCUUUAUUUGACGGUAAUUACUUAGAAAGUCACGGCUAACUACGUGCCAGCAGCCGCGGUAAUACGUAGGUGGCAAGCGUUGUCCGGAUUUAUUGGGCGUAAAGCGAGUGCAGGCGGGUUCAUUAAGUUUGUUGGAAAGCCUUCUGGUCCACCCGGGAA
Molecule: ribosomal RNA, 293 nt
Filed under: uncultured bacterium
Lineage: Bacteria
Description: partial 16S ribosomal RNA
Rfam family: Bacterial small subunit ribosomal RNA
Source: RNAcentral